This 585-nucleotide ribosomal RNA is filed under the name uncultured bacterium. RNAcentral's name for it is "partial 16S ribosomal RNA". It matches the Rfam family "Bacterial small subunit ribosomal RNA", at positions 355 to 1375 of the family's 1533-position model. The record is from RNAcentral.
UGGGGAAUUUUGGACAAUGGGCGAAAGCCUGAUCCAGCAAUGCCGCGUGUGUAAAGAAGGCCUUCGGGUUGUAAAGCACUUUUGUCCGGAAAGAAAUCCUUGGCUCUAAUACAGUCGGGGGAUGACGGUACCGGAAGAAUAAGCACCGGCUAACUACGUGCCAGCAGCCGCGGUAAUACGUAGGGUGCAAGCGUUAAUCGGAAUUACUGGGCGUAAAGCGUGCGCAGGCGGUUUGCUAAGACCGAUGUGAAAUCCCCGGGCUCAACCUGGGAACUGCAUUGGUGACUGGCAGGCUAGAGUAUGGCAGAGGGGGGUAGAAUUCCACGUGUAGCAGUGAAAUGCGUAGAGAUGUGGAGGAAUACCGAUGGCGAAGGCAGCCCCCUGGGCCAAUACUGACGCUCAUGCACGAAAGCGUGGGGAGCAAACAGGAUUAGAUACCCUGGUAGUCCACGCCCUAAACGAUGUCAACUAGUUGUUGGGGAUUCAUUUCCUUAGUAACGUAGCUAACGCGUGAAGUUGACCGCCUGGGGAGUACGGUCGCAAGAUUAAAACUUAAAUGAAUUGACGGGGUCAUAGCUGUUUCCU